GACGUAGGGCGCGAGCGUUGUCCGGAUUUAUUGGGCGUAAAGAGCUCGUAGGCGGCUUGUCGCGUCGACUGUGAAAACCCGCGGCUCAACUGCGGGCCUGCAGCCGAUACGGGCAGGCUAGAGUUCGGUAGGGGAGACUGGAAUUCCUGGUGUAGCGGUGAAAUGCGCAGAUAUCAGGAGGAACACCGGUGGCGAAAGCGACUCUCUGGACGGCAACUGACGCUGAGGCACGAAAGCGUGGGGAGCAAACAGG
Molecule: ribosomal RNA, 253 nt
Filed under: uncultured bacterium
Lineage: Bacteria
Description: partial 16S ribosomal RNA
Rfam family: Bacterial small subunit ribosomal RNA
Source: RNAcentral